Molecule: ribosomal RNA, 433 nt
Filed under: uncultured bacterium
Lineage: Bacteria
Description: partial 16S ribosomal RNA
Rfam family: Bacterial small subunit ribosomal RNA
Source: RNAcentral
AACGAACGCUGGCGGCAUGCCUAACACAUGCAAGUCGAACGAGACCUUCGGGUCUAGUGGCGCACGGGUGCGUAACGCGUGGGAACCUGCCCUUAGGUUCGGAAUAACUCUCCGAAAGGGGUGCUAACACCGGAUAAUGUCUUCGGACCAAAGAUUUAUCGCCCUUGGAUGGGCCCGCGUUGGAUUAGCUAGUUGGUAGGGUAAAAGCCUACCAAGGCGACGAUCCAUAGCUGGUCUGAGAGGAUGAUCAGCCACACUGGGACUCAGACACGGCCCAGACUCCUACGGGAGGCAGCAGUGGGGAAUAUUGGACAAUGGGCGAAAGCCUGAUCCAGCAAUGCCGCGUGAGUGAUGAAGGCCUUAGGGUUGUAAAGCUCUUUUACCCGGGAUGAUAAUGACAGUACCGGGAGAAUAAGCUCCGGCUAACUCCGUG